RNAcentral lists this unclassified non-coding RNA (332 nucleotides) under soil metagenome. RNAcentral's name for it is "partial contains 5.8S ribosomal RNA, internal transcribed spacer 2, and large subunit ribosomal RNA". The stretch from base 1 to 120 matches the Rfam family "5.8S ribosomal RNA", at positions 35 to 154 of the family's 154-position model. The record is from RNAcentral.
GAUGAAGAACGUAGCAAAAUGCGAUAAGUAAUGUGAAUUGCAGAAUUCAGUGAAUCAUCGAAUCUUUGAACGCACAUUGCGCCCGCCAGUAUUCUGGCGGGCAUGCCUGUUCGAGCGUCAUUUCAACCCUCAAGCACAGCUUGGUGUUGAGACUCGCGUUAAUUCGCGUUCCCCAAAUUGAUUGGCGGUCACGUCGAGCUUCCAUAGCGUAGUAGUAAAACCCUCGUUACUGGUAAUCGUCGCGGCCACGCCGUUAAACCCCAACUUCUGAAUGUUGACCUCGGAUCAGGUAGGAAUACCCGCUGAACUUAAGCAUAUCAAUAAGCGGAGGA